CAGCCGCCGCGGGAACACAGAGGGUGCGAGCGUUAAUCGGAUUUACUGGGCGUAAAGCGUGCGUAGGCGGCUAAUUGAGUCGGAUGUGAAAUCCCCGAGCUUAACUUGGGAAUUGCAUUCGAUACUGGUUAGCUAGAGUGUGGGAGAGGAUGGUAGAAUUCCAGGUGUAGCGGUGAAAUGCGUAGAGAUCUGGAGGAAUACCGAUGGCGAAGGCAGCCAUCUGGCCUAACACUGACGCUGAGGUACGAAAGCAUGGGGAGCAAACAGGAUUAGAUACCCCAGUAGUCCCUGUCUCUUAUAC
This 301-nucleotide ribosomal RNA is filed under the name uncultured bacterium. RNAcentral describes it as "partial 16S ribosomal RNA". It matches the Rfam family "Bacterial small subunit ribosomal RNA", at positions 509 to 807 of the family's 1533-position model. The record is from RNAcentral.